GGCCUGUUGGUGAAAUUGGUUAACACAUAACCCUCUCAAGGUUACAUUCACGGGUUCGAACCCCGUACAGGCUA
This 74-nucleotide transfer RNA is filed under the name Firmicutes bacterium CAG:884. It matches the Rfam family "tRNA". From Rfam's summary of the family: Transfer RNA (tRNA) molecules are approximately 80 nucleotides in length. Their secondary structure includes four short double-helical elements and three loops (D, anti-codon, and T loops). Lineage: Bacteria; Bacillati; Bacillota. The record is from Rfam by way of RNAcentral.